AAUUGGCUAUGGGAAGACGAACAUGUUCUUGACUAUGGCUCAGUAGUAAAUUGAACGAAUGAAAUAAUCCGCGUAUAUUUCAUAAUAAUAUUAUUCACAAUAAUUUGGACAAUCAAUUUUAACGCGGUAUUCGCGUAGCACAGGCUGCCUGUUUAUGACACAGUGUCGUAUUAAAUUGUAACAUAAUAGUAACUAGCUACAGAAGACAUAAAAAUUAAUCUCGAUCACGUUACGUGUCAGUAAAUACAUGGGACACGCUUUCGCCAUUCUCAUACUAAUUCUAAUACGUAAACUGCGUCGUCAUAUGUCUUCUAAACCUACGCAGUUUACCUACUUUUCCCACCUUCCACCGCCUAAUUCCACCUCCCUUUUUCCCCCAAAACACACGUUGCCAGCCGUCUGCGAUCUGCUCGUCUGCGAGAAUCUUCGACAACACCCUAAUCGAAGCGAAAUGAAACAGCCAGCGUAGCAAAGUGCAAAGCGAAUGCAAACUCUAGCGAACUCUGUUCGCCUCUGCAUCGUCGAAAAGAACGAGAAGAAGGUUAGUCGAUUGCAUCGGUCGCUGAAUCCUGCGAUGCGUCGGGAAACUAACAAUCGUCCUAUCGUCUGGUCCUCGUGAGGUGACGAAGGAAGAGAGCGGCAGGAAGAGAAGGUCGUCAGAGGUCGCGGUAUCGGUCGAAUGUUUUCCAUCCGGUGAGUAGAGCAGCUACGUUCGGGAGGAUGCGGUGUCGAGGUGGGCGUUCGGGAUCGAUCCCCGACUCCAUUCCCGUGACGUCACUGUGCGGCAAGAUAGGAUGGGGAGAGAUGGCAGGAGAGACAAAGCGGGAGGUUUAGGGCGGAGCGGGGCGAACGUGGACACGCGAGCGGUGCCGAGGGGUGUGUAGGUGGUGGGUGCAGUGCCGGGACUCGGGCAGAUCCCGGCGACGACGUUGGCCGCGUUUUCGACGGUGGUGCCGCUGCUGCCGGCGUUGACGCACCUUGUGGAACGGCGCGUAGCCCGUCACGAUUGUGGUGGUGGUCCUCGUGGUGGUGGUGGUGGUGGUGGUGGUGGGUGUGCGACGUCGCCGGUAUCGAUGCCGGUGGCUGUGUCUUAUUCGCCGGUUUCCGAGCUGCAAAUCUCAUAGACAGAGGUACGAUCGAUCGCGACCUUCGAAGACGCGUGUGAAGCGAAGGAGGAGCGCGCAGCGAUGCUGGCCGCGAUCGUUGGAGGAAUCAGCAACCUCGAGGGUGGCGGUGGCGUGCCGGUGACACGACGGUUUAGUCGCUGCUAGUUGACGCGAGGUUCUCCCUUCUGUCGACCGGUGCUAUCGUUCUCUCUCUCAAUCGCCUCGAAAUUCGUUUCGCGACCAUCGUUCCUCCGACAAUUCCACGAUCCUUAGGUUUAGUGACUUCUUCUUCGACAUCGUCGAGUUAGUCGUUUCUCGGUAGAUGGUCACUGGCGAGUGUGCAACACCGAGCGAAUCUCUCGCUUUGGCUGCCUCACGUCCGCGAUACGCAGUCACAUCGCGUUACUCGAUGAUAGGAAGCUGCUCGUAGUAGCAGUCGGUGAACGCGUGUGCAUAUGCUUGUAUACAUAUACAUGUAUAUAUAGCUGUUGGUUCUUCCUCGGUCACGACCUUCACCGUGUAAUCAAGUUGGUGUCUGAGGUUGCUGGUUGCGCUACAUGUGUCAAGGCAAUUGUACCACGCGUAUCCUGCCAGUUAACUGCCUGGUGUAUAGGCGUUGAUAGUUGCGUACGUGUGCAGGGAAGAAUCGUAACAACGCGUGGUGACGGUGCAUCGACUGUGCUGGUUUCUUCGUUCGCAAGAAACGGUCGAUAGCACUGGAAGUGCAGCUCCAUAUUGCUUAAAAUACGAGGUGGACCUAUCGAUUUGGAAGACCGACGGGAUCAUGAGCAGGAUACACUUGAUCAUUUUCCUCGUCUUUUUCCUGCUCAUCGUCUUCUUCUCGCUGCUUCUCUUCUCCUUCUUCUUUCAAGUAAUUCUAUAAUCUCCGAAUGGCUAUUUUUCGCUUCAGAAUUCGCCACGUCCUCGCUUAUCAAGAUAAUCCGUGAAAAGUGGAAUAUUCAUUGGUUUUGCGAUAACGCGCGUGUGAUUCGAGUGUUGGCCCACACAGCCUCCAUCCAGUGUCGUUUCGCGCUCGAGAUAAACGUACCUCGGCUGAGAAUUCUCCCUGCGAUGUAACACGGACGUAGGCAAUUUGCAUUCGAUCUGUCGCGAUUAAUUUCAUUCAUCGAAUAUCUCGAACGGGACUGGCAGCGUUGGCAGGGCCGGCCGGUUCCUUUGACCCAGUGAUCCGGUUCGGUACGUAGCGUGCUCCGAGUACGCCACCCACCCGCGGCGAGCGAAAUGGAAUUCGCGUGCGAAAAAUGGCGACGUGAGAGGCGGCCGAAUCUUCAUCGGCACUGCCAGUUCUCGUAAUUCUCCAACCAUCUAACCUUCCACGCGAAAGCUCGUUCGCGAUUCUUUUUCCCAACCGUUCGCUAAAUUCGGGAAUGAAGAUCGAGCGAUAAGAGAAACGCACGCAACCUUUUCGACCGGCGAACGCCUAGAGGCGAUCGGUUCGAAGUAAACGAACGACGAUAAUACGCGUUGGCGUUUGUGAUGCACGGGACAAGGAAACGAGAAGAUGGCGUGGAAACGCGGAAAUCGGCGCAGGAUCGCGCCAGUCGAUCGACGAUAGCGCGAUCCAACUGCAGCCGAGUAUCGUGAACGCGCGCGCAUGCGCGCGCGCGGUAUUUUCGAAUGACGCGCAACGAUCUAUCUUCGAGACGCUGAAGCGUUUGCGAAACAUGUUGAUGCGCUGGAAGAGCAAGGACAAGAGCUCCGGCAAGAGCUCCUCAGCCGGCACCAGUCUUGGAAAAAAGAAGCGUAAAUUCGGCAGAGAAGGAAAUCUGAUUUCUUCCUCAUCGCUGCUAUCCGAAUUUGUGUAAGCCUCUUAACAGCUUUCUUUUUCACUGCUGUUUGACUCACUAAGAAAUAAGUUUUCCAUUUUUCUUUUCGACAUUGUAACGAAUUAGGGCAUUUUAAGUUAUCUAAAAUAUCGGUGGCAAUCUAGCAAAGUGCGCUUGGUACAGCGGCACUCGUGGCCUGAAGGAGAUUUCGUUGAAAACACGCGUGGCAGUCAACGUGUUAAAGGGCGAACGAGCGAAUGUCGUUUGCUCUUUUACAAAAGUUUGCGCUUUGUCGACGCCAACUUCUCGGACCCGUAAAAAAGUCAAUUUUACGCCGUUUAAAUCUGUGUGAUAUUUUUGAACGUUUCCACAAGUAUAAAUUCCUAAUAUAAUUUCCUAACGUAAAUGCAUCCGCCGACUACGAUAACCCGAAGGUUUUACAACAUGAAAAUCACACGAGAAAGACACGACAUAAGCGCACUCGUGUUAACUUUUUAGCCGUCGAUUCGCAUACGUCGUGCUGCAGUUUGGAUCAAGUUACUUCGUUUAAAAAUCUAGUUUUCCUGCCUAGUCGUUGUCUAUGUGACGAUUAAACGACGGACAAAUAAGCUCUCCGACAGGUUUCUCGGCUUCUCGGUUUCCCGGCCGCGACAGACACGAGAAGGCACGUUGUAUUAUAUUUAGACGAUCGAUCGGCGAUCCGGUAGUUUUUACUCUGCAAAUUUGCAUGGACGUGGUGGUGAUUUUAAAAAUAAACCAUUUCCCUGCUGGCAGCGCUAUACGGCACGUUACGAUUGUCCUUGACCCGUAGAAAGCCCAUUCGGGUGGACGCGAAGUAGACUCGCGCGUUCCUUCACGCUCCAAAAGUUGCGCGUACUCGGUCGAUUCGCUUUAAAAUGGAACACUGAAAACAAAAAAAAAAACAAAAAAGAAAAAAAAAGAAA
This is a long non-coding RNA of Bombus huntii, 3837 nucleotides long. RefSeq lists it as uncharacterized. The transcript is spliced from 2 exons. NCBI's taxonomy places the organism in Eukaryota, Metazoa, Arthropoda, Insecta, Hymenoptera, Apidae. The record is from RefSeq and is a predicted model, not a curated record.